UUAAGUUAUUAAGGGCGCACGGUGGAUGCCUUGGCACUAGAAGCCAAUGAAGGACGUUACUAACGACGAUAUGCUUUGGGGAGCUGUAAGUAAGCUUUGAUCCAGAGAUUUCCGAAUGGGGAAACCCAGCAUGAGUUAUGUCAUGUUAUCGAUAUGUGAAUACAUAGCAUAUCAGAAGGCACACCCGGAGAACUGAAACAUCUUAGUACCCGGAGGAAGAGAAAGAAAAUUCGAUUCCCUUAGUAGCGGCGAGCGAAACGGGAAGAGCCCAAACCAACAAGCUUGCUUGUUGGGGUUGUAGGACACUCUAUACGGAGUUACAAAGGACGACAUUAGACGAAUCAUCUGGAAAGAUGAAUCAAAGAGGUAAUAAUCCUGUAGUCGAAAAUGUUGUCUCUCUUGAGUGGAUCCUGAGUACGACGGAGCACGUGAAAUUCCGUCGGAAUCUGGGAGGACCAUCUCCUAAGGCUAAAUACUCUCUAGUGACCGAUAGUGAACCAGUACCGUGAGGGAAAGGUGAAAAGCACCCCGGAAGGGGAGUGAAAUAGAACCUGAAACCGUGUGCUUACAAGUAGUCAGAGCCCGUUAAUGGGUGAUGGCGUGCCUUUUGUAGAAUGAACCGGCGAGUUACGAUUUGAUGCAAGGUUAAGCAGUAAAUGUGGAGCCGUAGCGAAAGCGAGUCUGAAUAGGGCGUUUAGUAUUUGGCCGUAGACCCGAAACCAGGUGAUCUACCCUUGGUCAGGUUGAAGUUCAGGUAACACUGAAUGGAGGACCGAACCGACUUACGUUGAAAAGUGAGCGGAUGAACUGAGGGUAGCGGAGAAAUUCCAAUCGAACCUGGAGAUAGCUGGUUCUCUCCGAAAUAGCUUUAGGGCUAGCCUCAAGUGAUGAUUAUUGGAGGUAGAGCACUGUUUGGACGAGGGGCCCUCUCGGGUUACCGAAUUCAGACAAACUCCGAAUGCCAAUUAAUUUAACUUGGGAGUCAGAACAUGGGUGAUAAGGUCCGUGUUCGAAAGGGAAACAGCCCAGACCACCAGCUAAGGUCCCAAAAUAUAUGUUAAGUGGAAAAGGAUGUGGCGUUGCCCAGACAACUAGGAUGUUGGCUUAGAAGCAGCCAUCAUUUAAAGAGUGCGUAAUAGCUCACUAGUCGAGUGACACUGCGCCGAAAAUGUACCGGGGCUAAACAUAUUACCGAAGCUGUGGAUUGUCCUUUGGACAAUGGUAGGAGAGCGUUCUAAGGGCGUUGAAGCAUGAUCGUAAGGACAUGUGGAGCGCUUAGAAGUGAGAAUGCCGGUGUGAGUAGCGAAAGACGGGUGAGAAUCCCGUCCACCGAUUGACUAAGGUUUCCAGAGGAAGGCUCGUCCGCUCUGGGUUAGUCGGGUCCUAAGCUGAGGCCGACAGGCGUAGGCGAUGGAUAACAGGUUGAUAUUCCUGUACCACCUAUAAUCGUUUUAAUCGAUGGGGGGACGCAGUAGGAUAGGCGAAGCGUGCGAUUGGAUUGCACGUCUAAGCAGUAAGGCUGAGUAUUAGGCAAAUCCGGUACUCGUUAAGGCUGAGCUGUGAUGGGGAGAAGACAUUGUGUCUUCGAGUCGUUGAUUUCACACUGCCGAGAAAAGCCUCUAGAUAGAAAAUAGGUGCCCGUACCGCAAACCGACACAGGUAGUCAAGAUGAGAAUUCUAAGGUGAGCGAGCGAACUCUCGUUAAGGAACUCGGCAAAAUGACCCCGUAACUUCGGGAGAAGGGGUGCUCUUUAGGGUUAACGCCCAGAAGAGCCGCAGUGAAUAGGCCCAAGCGACUGUUUAUCAAAAACACAGGUCUCUGCUAAACCGUAAGGUGAUGUAUAGGGGCUGACGCCUGCCCGGUGCUGGAAGGUUAAGAGGAGUGGUUAGCUUCUGCGAAGCUACGAAUCGAAGCCCCAGUAAACGGCGGCCGUAACUAUAACGGUCCUAAGGUAGCGAAAUUCCUUGUCGGGUAAGUUCCGACCCGCACGAAAGGCGUAACGAUUUGGGCACUGUCUCAACGAGAGACUCGGUGAAAUCAUAGUACCUGUGAAGAUGCAGGUUACCCGCGACAGGACGGAAAGACCCCGUGGAGCUUUACUGUAGCCUGAUAUUGAAAUUCGGCACAGCUUGUACAGGAUAGGUAGGAGCCUUUGAAACGUGAGCGCUAGCUUACGUGGAGGCGCUGGUGGGAUACUACCCUAGCUGUGUUGGCUUUCUAACCCGCACCACUUAUCGUGGUGGGAGACAGUGUCAGGCGGGCAGUUUGACUGGGGCGGUCGCCUCCUAAAAGGUAACGGAGGCGCUCAAAGGUUCCCUCAGAAUGGUUGGAAAUCAUUCAUAGAGUGUAAAGGCAUAAGGGAGCUUGACUGCGAGACCUACAAGUCGAGCAGGGUCGAAAGACGGACUUAGUGAUCCGGUGGUUCCGCAUGGAAGGGCCAUCGCUCAACGGAUAAAAGCUACCCCGGGGAUAACAGGCUUAUCUCCCCCAAGAGUUCACAUCGACGGGAGGUUUGGCACCUCGAUGUCGGCUCAUCGCAUCCUGGGGCUGUAGUCGGUCCCAAGGGUUGGGCUGUUCGCCCAUUAAAGCGGUACGCGAGCUGGGUUCAGAACGUCGUGAGACAGUUCGGUCCCUAUCCGUCGUGGCGUAGGAAAUUUGAGAGGAGCUGUCCUUAGUACGAGAGGACCGGGAUGGACAUACCUCUGGUGUACCAGUUGUCGUGCCAACGGCAUAGCUGGGUAGCUAUGUGUGGACGGGAUAAGUGCUGAAAGCAUCUAAGCAUGAAGCCCCCCUCAAGAUGAGAUUUCCCAACUUCGGUUUAUAAGAUCCCUCAAAGAUGAUGAGGUUAAUAGGUUCGAGGUGGAAGCAUGGUGACAUGUGGAGCUGACGAAUACUAAUCGAUCGAAGACUUAAUCAA
RNAcentral lists this ribosomal RNA (2918 nucleotides) under Staphylococcus aureus. RNAcentral's name for it is "bacterial LSU rRNA". It matches the Rfam family "Bacterial large subunit ribosomal RNA". The record is from RNAcentral. Lineage: Bacteria; Bacillati; Bacillota; Bacilli; Caryophanales; Staphylococcaceae.